AGGACGAACGCUGGCGGCGUGCCUAACACAUGCAAGUCGAGCGAGGAGAUUCCUUCGGGAUGAUCCUAGCGGCGGACGGGUGAGUAACACGUGGGCAACCUGCCUCAUAGAGAGGAAUAGCCUUCCGAAAGGAGAUUAAUACCUCAUAACAUUGCAGUUUCGCAUGGAACAGCAAUUAAAGGAGUAAUCCGCUAUGAGAUGGGCCCGCGGCGCAUUAGCUAGUUGGUGAGGUAACGGCUCACCAAGGCGACGAUGCGUAGCCGACCUGAGAGGGUGAUCGGCCACAUUGGGACUGAGACACGGCCCAGACUCCUACGGGAGGCAGCAGUGGGGAAUAUUGCACAAUGGGGGAAACCCUGAUGCAAGCAACGCCGCGUGAGUGAUGACGGCCUUCGGGUUGUAAAGCUCUGUCUUCAGGGACGAUAAUGACGGUACCUGAGGAGGAAGCCACGGCUAACUACGUGCCAGCAGCGGC
RNAcentral lists this ribosomal RNA (475 nucleotides) under uncultured bacterium. Its description in RNAcentral is "bacterial SSU rRNA". It matches the Rfam family "Bacterial small subunit ribosomal RNA", at positions 26 to 518 of the family's 1533-position model. The record is from RNAcentral.